This is a long non-coding RNA of Myotis daubentonii (Daubenton's bat), 481 nucleotides long. RefSeq lists it as uncharacterized. NCBI's taxonomy places the organism in Eukaryota, Metazoa, Chordata, Mammalia, Chiroptera, Vespertilionidae. The record is from RefSeq and is a predicted model, not a curated record.
GUCCCAGAGGCGCAGUGUGUAUCAGAGAAGCCGCCUCGAAAACAAUUGCCUGGAUUUUAAUUAAAGUUCAGCAGGAGGGACUGAAACUGGGACAGUGAGCGGGAGCCGGGAAGCACGGAGAGGCGCUGUGGCUGCUGGAAUAUUUAGAAAUGAUUAAAUGGAAUCCACGCCCAUCCCUUCCUACCUAGAAAUGUAUUUUCCUAGUGUAGACUUGGUCUCACAGCACUCGGCGUACAGGGGACAAUACUGACCAUCUACGUGCUCCGGACACUACCUGGGCGUUUCUACAGGCUCAUCAGGAGUAUGUCUCUCUUCCUGCCAGGAGGAAGCUGUGCCCAGAAAGGCCGAUUCAUUUAAAGAGCCUGUGUCUGCUCCUCACAGAACCGCGAGGCUAGCCUCUGAACAGACGCCAUCGUUGUGCACAGACAGACUUAUUUACAGAUUCUGCUGCAAGCUCGGGAACCGCACGCAGCCCCUCCUC